Molecule: ribosomal RNA, 253 nt
Filed under: uncultured bacterium
Lineage: Bacteria
Description: partial 16S ribosomal RNA
Rfam family: Bacterial small subunit ribosomal RNA
Source: RNAcentral
UACAGAGGGUGCGAGCGUUGUCCGGAAUCACUGGGCGUAAAGGGCGCGUAGGCGGCUGGAUAAGCGUGUGGUGAAAGUCCGGGGCUCAACCCCGGAUCGGCCAUGCGAACUGUCCAGCUGGAGCACGGUAGAGGCACAUGGAAUUCCGGGUGUAGCGGUGGAAUGCGUAGAGAUCCGGAAGAACACCGGUGGCGAAGGCGGUGUGCUGGGCCGUAGCUGACGCUGAGGCGCGACAGCGUGGGGAGCAAACAGG